This 468-nucleotide ribosomal RNA is filed under the name uncultured bacterium. RNAcentral's name for it is "partial 16S ribosomal RNA". It matches the Rfam family "Bacterial small subunit ribosomal RNA", at positions 28 to 507 of the family's 1533-position model. The record is from RNAcentral.
GACGAACGCUGGCGGCGUGCUUAACACGUGCAAGUCGAACGGAAAGGCCCUGCUUUUGUGGGGUGCUCGAGUGGCGAACGGGUGAGUAACACGUGAGUAACCUGCCCUUGACUUUGGGAUAACUUCAGGAAACUGGGGCUAAUACCGGAUAGGAGCUCCUGCUGCAUGGUGGGGGUUGGAAAGUUUCGGCGGUUGGGGAUGGACUCGCGGCUUAUCAGCUUGUUGGUGGGGUAGUGGCUUACCAAGGCUUUGACGGGUAGCCGGCCUGAGAGGGUGACCGGCCACAUUGGGACUGAGAUACGGCCCAGACUCCUACGGGAGGCAGCAGUGGGGAAUAUUGCACAAUGGGCGGAAGCCUGAUGCAGCAACGCCGCGUGCGGGAUGACGGCCUUCGGGUUGUAAACCGCUUUCGCCUGUGACGAAGCGUGAGUGACGGUAAUGAGUAAAGAAGCACCGGCUAACUACGUG